This is a non-coding RNA of Podarcis muralis (Common wall lizard), 418 nucleotides long. The record is from RefSeq and is a predicted model, not a curated record. NCBI's taxonomy places the organism in Eukaryota, Metazoa, Chordata, Lepidosauria, Squamata, Lacertidae.
UAGGAGUCUCCCCACAGCAGCCCAUCCAUCACAGGCCUAAUCUUCACAAGCAGCAGAAUGGAUGAGGUGGUAGAGUGGACUGCACUACAUUAGUCUACAGACUAUUUUUGGCUCCUGUAUUUCCCUCCGACACCAGCCUUGUCACGUACAGCGGCUGGUGUGUUGAUAAUAUGCUGACUUCAUCUCAACGGCUCAGGAGACUGAUUUCGCCCCCCCCACCUCCUUUAGAUGUGACCUUACCGAAGGAUGAAGGACACGCUUAGCGCAAACGAUGACACAGAAGAUCAUUCGGCUACACUUCUACUACAUCAUUCAUGCCACAAGAAAAUCUGAUGCUGGCAGCCAGGUUUGUUAAGAGCAAAAACUAAAUGUAAAAAAAAAAAGGGGGGGAGUUAAAAGACCCAUGAGUGACAGUUUA